This 26-nucleotide small RNA is filed under the name Bombyx mori (domestic silkworm). Its description in RNAcentral is "ovarian small RNA-30303". The record is from RNAcentral. Lineage: Eukaryota; Metazoa; Arthropoda; Insecta; Lepidoptera; Bombycidae.
UGAAAAAGCAGGGUCUGGGUUUUGUC